AAAAACCCAAAAUGUUUCUCUAUUUUGUCUCAGGAUAAUUAUACUGCCAAUUUUUUUGUUGACUCCAUCUUUGUACCCCUCCAGAAACAACAGUUCUAAAGCCAGAGGAGGUGGAUGUACCCCCACAGAAUGCCUUUAGAAGUGACUUCUCUCCAAAAGAGUAUUGUCUGGGGGUAUGCUGAGAACAUCAGGACUCUACAUAAUGGAAAAAGAAAAGAACUCUCUAAUGAACACUUACUAUGAGGAGUCUUCAGAAAGUUCAGAGAGAGUGGUUGUUAUGGGAUGGACAUUUGGCACAAAAGAAAGAGUCCCAGUCCUGAGGAGGAACACAGCAUCUCUUCAACACUGACUGCUCCUCUUAAUAUGUGGUCUACCUAAAAAUAUAAAUACUCAAUAAAAUGUAUAGUUUGCCCCA
Molecule: long non-coding RNA, 415 nt
Filed under: Oryctolagus cuniculus (rabbit)
Lineage: Eukaryota; Metazoa; Chordata; Mammalia; Lagomorpha; Leporidae
Description: lncRNA (ENSOCUG00000035873.1)
Source: RNAcentral